This is a non-coding RNA of Clostridium sp., 73 nucleotides long. Lineage: Bacteria; Bacillati; Bacillota; Clostridia; Eubacteriales; Clostridiaceae. The record is from Rfam.
GCUGCCUUGGCGCAGCAGGUAGCGCGCAUCCUUGGUAAGGAUGAGGUCGGCGGUUCAAAUCCGCUAGGCAGCU